UACCAGCACCCCGAGUGGUCGGGACGAUUAUUGGGCCUAAAGCAUCCGUAGCCGGCCUUACAAGUCCUCCGUUAAAUCCAGCUGCUUAACAGAUGGGCUGCGGAGGAUACUAUAAGACUAGGAGGCAGGAGAGGCAAGCGGUACUCAGUGGGUAGGGGUAAAAUCCGUUGAUCCAUUGAAGACCACCAGUGGCGAAGGCGGCUUGCCAGAAUGCGCUCGACGGUGAGGGAUGAAAGCUGGGGGAGCAAACCGGG
RNAcentral lists this ribosomal RNA (254 nucleotides) under uncultured bacterium. RNAcentral describes it as "partial 16S ribosomal RNA". It matches the Rfam family "Archaeal small subunit ribosomal RNA", at positions 474 to 728 of the family's 1478-position model. The record is from RNAcentral.